RNAcentral lists this unclassified non-coding RNA (272 nucleotides) under plant metagenome. RNAcentral describes it as "partial contains small subunit ribosomal RNA, internal transcribed spacer 1, and 5.8S ribosomal RNA". The record is from RNAcentral.
UUUCCGUAGGUGAACCUGCGGAAGGAUCAUUAAUGAGUUGUCAUGGGGUUCGAUGCUGGCAGCCAGUUUUUGGAUGCAUGUGCUUGCCCUAACAAUCAUCUUCUUCCAAACACCUGUGCACAUUUUUGAGGGAGUCUUGAGUUGGUUGCCGCUCUUGGGUGAUUUUCUCACAUUCCCUUAAAUCAUUAUACGCUAUUAACAAUGUUGAACGUGCUCUGUGCCGCAAGGCCAUUAAUAUAAUACAACUUUCAACAACGGAUCUCUUGGCUCUC